UUCUUUUUUUCUUUUUCUUGGACCCCUACACAAAUAUUUUUCUUUCGCGCGGAUAAUCUCUGAUCACCGCAUUUGAACCCCGACAACUUCAUGUCACUCUCGCUACCAAACAAUGAACCCCGUUCUCCAUUUGAACCCCGUUCUCCAGAAGACACUCUGCGUCUCCUUUUCUCCUGAUGGACCCCGAUCUCCGUGUUGAUC
This 201-nucleotide long non-coding RNA is filed under the name Lathyrus oleraceus (garden pea). Its description in RNAcentral is "Pisum sativum (pea) long non-coding RNA (PSAT_LNC002108)". Lineage: Eukaryota; Viridiplantae; Streptophyta; Magnoliopsida; Fabales; Fabaceae. The record is from RNAcentral.